UACGUAGGGGGCUAGCGUUUUCCGGCUUUAUUGGGCGUAAAGAGCGUGUAGGCUGCCAGGUAGGUCUGCUGUGAAAACUCGAGGCUCAACCUCGAGACGUCGGCGGAAACCAUCUGGCUAGAGUCCGGAAGAGGAGAGUGGAAUUCCUGGUGUAGCGGUGAAAUGCGCAGAUAUCAGGAAGAACACCCGUGGCGAAGGCGGCUCUCUGGGACGGUACUGACGCUGAGACGCGAAAGCGUGGGGAGCGAACAGG
RNAcentral lists this ribosomal RNA (253 nucleotides) under uncultured bacterium. RNAcentral's name for it is "partial 16S ribosomal RNA". It matches the Rfam family "Bacterial small subunit ribosomal RNA", at positions 524 to 776 of the family's 1533-position model. The record is from RNAcentral.